Molecule: ribosomal RNA, 439 nt
Filed under: Astur gentilis (Northern goshawk)
Lineage: Eukaryota; Metazoa; Chordata; Aves; Accipitriformes; Accipitridae
Description: Accipiter gentilis (Northern goshawk) partial 12S ribosomal RNA
Rfam family: Bacterial small subunit ribosomal RNA
Source: RNAcentral
GGAUUAGAUACCCCACUAUGCCUGGCCCUAAAUCUUGAUACUUACUUUACAAAAGUAUCCGCCCGAGAACUACGAGCACAAACGCUUAAAACUCUAAGGACUUGGCGGUGCCCCAAACCCACCUAGAGGAGCCUGUUCUAUAAUCGAUAAUCCACGCUACACCCAACCACCCCUCGCCCAAGCAGCCUACAUACCGCCGUCGCCAGCCCACCUCCUCUGAGAGCUCAACAGUGGGCCCAAUAGCCUCACCCGCUAAAAAGACAGGUCAAGGUAUAGCCUACGGAGUGGAAGAAAUGGGCUACAUUUUCUAAGAUAGAAAAUCUAUACGAAAGAAGGCAUGAAAUAGCCUCCGGAAGGCGGAUUUAGCAGUAAAAUGGGAUAAUAAAGCCCUAUUUAAGCUGGCCCUGAGGCACGUACAUACCGCCCGUCACCCUCCUCG